UUCUUCGGGUAGAGCACAAGAGAGGAAUGAAUGCACAUUAAAAGGAAAUUCCAUCCCAAAACAAUAGCCUACAAGCAGAAGAAUGAAAGGGACCAAAAAAAACAACAGCACCCAGGCAGGCUGUUUCAGCAUGAAUGCCGUAAUGUCAUCUAUUUGUAACAGAGCACAUUGUCAGAAAACCCUGACACACAGCUAACUUGGCUUUAUUCUACACAGUACACUUUCACAGUUGUUACUGGAUUAAAAUGUGACUGGCCUGACAAUGAAACAGCAGAACCACCGUGUAUUGUUAUGCAAUUCACUGUCUGCAAGGGUGACUUGUAGCUUGUUCUUUAUUCAGCAAGUGCCAACUGCAUGUUUAAUCAAUGUCACCACUCACUACAGCAUGCAACUGAAGCCACUGUCAUUCCACUCCUCAGAUUUGACUGGCUGCUAAGUUAUGCAAUGCUCCGAAGAAUGCCUUGGAAUUAUUUGUUAGAUGCUUUGAAUGCAGGUGUGCAACACUCCUAACCCCAGAGCAAACAAGAAACUUCCUUCCUUCUGGACAAAAAUGUAAACAGACUAAUAUCUGCUACAUUUGGAUUUACAACUCAGCUACACGAGAGAAACAUAUCCAGAGAGUUACCCACAUCGAGAAGAUGUCAAACGACCAUUCCAUUGGAAUGUCUUGGGGAACAGCUACAUAUACAGGACAAGAAGUGGGAGAUUAAAUUUUAACUGGAGCCUUAAUGCUAUAAUCACUGUUUGCACAGAAAAUGUUUCAUCUUAUGGAAGAAUUCAAUAUUUAAACAGGGAAGAAACAUGCAACCUGGAUAUGCAGAGCAGAGGUUUCUUUACUAACAACGCAUCGUUUCAGUGGAUAACCAAAAUAAUGCCUACAUUUCUCGGAAGAUUUUGUAAUAUUAUCGCAUCCACAGAUUAAUCUAUCAAGAAAUUGUUCAUGCAUGCAUAUAAUUUCUGCUUUGAGUGAAAAGAACAGCCCUCCAUGAAGAUAAGGCUGUUUCUCCACUGCAGUGAGGAGUAAGCAGCAUGUCUGAUGAGAUUUUAUUCCUGAUGCAAUGUAGGCCAGCUGUAGGAACACUGGUGAAGACAUUUGCAGGAAAAAUGAGGAGCUCUGCCAUCACAACACUAGAAGAUGUAAAAAGGCAAGAAGAGAGUGAGGAAAAGGAGGAAUCUGUUUUAGCUCUGCUGGGAAUCAUCGGAACAGUGCUUAAUCUAUUUGUAAUUGUUUUCGUUUACAUCUACACAACACUUUGACCGUUUUCUAGCAACUCGGAGGAGCAGCACAUAGCGCGAAAAGACCAGCAAUGGCAAGCAAGGUUGGUGAACACUACCCAACAGGAAACAGAAUCUAUCAAACACAUUCCAGUGAGAAGUGCCUAUUUAGAGGCACAAGACCAGUGACUGCAAAGCACGUCUGUGAACCCAGUUAAGACAAUUAAAUUAUAGAAAUGACAGAUAUUCAACUUCUCACUGAUGACUGCGGAAGCUCAAAUACUGGAGAUGCAUAUGGCAUUCUACUGCCAAUGAAUAUGCAAGGCAUAUAUAAGCAGGUAAAAAAUAAAAAAAGAUAAUGGUGCCAUAAAACCCUCCUACAAGAUGUUUUAUUUACUUGACCCAAUUAUGCUUUUGGAUAUGUGACUAUGUACCUCUGUGUAGGUGGACAACCAGGGUGGGAGGAGUCCAGUUCGUUUUAAAACUAUCAUUAUGUGCUAAAAUUUACACAACUAUAUAUGAAGUGUAGAAAAAAGAGCACUGUAAAGUACUGUAUUAUGAGUAAAUAAAAUUUUAAAUGACUAUUCUUCA
Molecule: long non-coding RNA, 1806 nt
Organism: Lacerta agilis (Sand lizard)
Lineage: Eukaryota; Metazoa; Chordata; Lepidosauria; Squamata; Lacertidae
Exons: 2
Source: RefSeq, a predicted model, not a curated record